GUACUGCUGAGGAGUCCUAGACUAGGACGAAACGGCCGUCCAGUGC
Molecule: non-coding RNA, 46 nt
Organism: Schistosoma rodhaini
Lineage: Eukaryota; Metazoa; Platyhelminthes; Trematoda; Strigeidida; Schistosomatidae
Source: Rfam